UACGUCAUCCCGCCUGGGGAGUACGGCCGCAAGGCUAAAACUCAAAGGAAUUGACGGGUCCCCGCACAAGCGGCGGAGCAUGCGGCUUAAUUCGAUGCAACCCGAAGAACCUUACCUGGGUUUGACAUCACGGGAAAAACUGAGGAAACACAGUGUCCGUAAGGGCCCGUGACAGGUGGUGCAUGGCUGUCGUCAGCUCGUGUCGUGAGAUGUUGGGUUAAGUCCCGCAACGAGCGCAACCCUUGUCCUAUGUUGCCAGCACGUAAUGGUGGGGACUCAUGGGAGACUGCCGGGGAUAACUCGGAGGAAGGUGGGGAUGACGUUUCCAGGUUAGG
RNAcentral lists this unclassified non-coding RNA (335 nucleotides) under uncultured Acidimicrobiia bacterium. RNAcentral's name for it is "contains 16S-23S intergenic spacer region". It matches the Rfam family "Bacterial small subunit ribosomal RNA", at positions 860 to 1194 of the family's 1533-position model. The record is from RNAcentral. Lineage: Bacteria; Bacillati; Actinomycetota; Acidimicrobiia.